Molecule: ribosomal RNA, 467 nt
Filed under: uncultured bacterium
Lineage: Bacteria
Description: partial 16S ribosomal RNA
Rfam family: Bacterial small subunit ribosomal RNA
Source: RNAcentral
GACGAACGCUGGCGGCGUGCUUAACACAUGCAAGUCGAACGGAAAGGCCUCUUUCGGGGGGUACUCGAGUGGCGAACGGGUGAGUAACACGUGAGUAACCUGCCCUUGACUUUGGGAUAACUUCAGGAAACUGGGGCUAAUACCGGAUAGGAGCUCCUGCUGCCUGGUGGGGGUUGGAAAGUUUCGGCGGUUGGGGAUGGACUCGCGGCUUAUCAGCUUGUUGGUGGGGUAGUGGCUUACCAAGGCUUUGACGGGUAGCCGGCCUGAGAGGGUGACCGGCCACAUUGGGACUGAGAUACGGCCCAGACUCCUACGGGAGGCAGCAGUGGGGAAGAUUGCACAAUGGGUGGAAGCCUGAUGCAGCAACGCCGUGUGCGGGAUGACGGCCUUCGGGUUGUAAACCGCUUUCGCUCAUGACGAAGCUUUGUGUGACGGUAGUGGGUAAAGAAGCACCGGCUAACUACGUG